CCUACGGGAGGCAGCAGUGAGGAAUAUUGGUCAAUGGACGAGAGUCUGAACCAGCCAAGUAGCGUGAAGGAUGACUGCCCUAUGGGUUGUAAACUUCUUUUAUAUGGGAAUAAACUGUUCCACGUGUGGGAUUUUGUAUGUACCAUAUGAAUAAGGAUCGGCUAACUCCGUGCCAGCAGCCGCGGUAUACGGAGGCUCCGGGCGUUAUCCGGAUUUCUUGGGUUUAAAGGGAGCGUAGGCGGAGUGGUAAGUCGGUUGUGAAAGUUUGCGGCUCAACCGUGAAAUUGCAGUUGAAACUGGCAUGCUUGAGUACAGUAGAGGUGGGCAGAAUUCGUGGUGUAGCGGUGAAAUGCUUAGAUAUCACGAAGAACUCCGAUUGCAAAGGCAGUUCACUGGACUGCAACUGACACUGAGGCUCGAAAGUGUGGGUAUCAAACAGGAUUAGAUACCCUAGUAGUC
RNAcentral lists this ribosomal RNA (459 nucleotides) under uncultured bacterium. RNAcentral describes it as "partial 16S ribosomal RNA". It matches the Rfam family "Bacterial small subunit ribosomal RNA", at positions 338 to 795 of the family's 1533-position model. The record is from RNAcentral.